Molecule: long non-coding RNA, 1557 nt
Filed under: Homo sapiens (human)
Lineage: Eukaryota; Metazoa; Chordata; Mammalia; Primates; Hominidae
Description: PREDICTED lncRNA (TCONS_00152686)
Source: RNAcentral
UGGCCAUCCACCUCCCUCCCUUGCCCGGCCUUCUGUAGCAUUUUCCUUCAGGUCCCAGGCCCACCUCCCUCCGUUCUUAGUAUGCUAUAACUAAUAUUAUGACCACUCUGAGAGGCGGAUCUGCUUAAAAUCCUCUUCCCACCAUGACUGGGAUCAAGUCCAGUGUUCUUAACAUGGCUUACUUAGCUUAUAACAUGUGAUGAGGCCCCUGCUUAAUUCUCAUUAAUUCUCAUGCCUUUUAUUUUGCAAACCCUAGGUAUGACAGCUCCUCUCCCAACAGCUCUACUUUCUACAUCUACUCUCUACCACCACAAAACUUCUUUCAGUUCCAUGAAAGGGCCAUGUUUUUCUGGUCUCUUGGCCUAGGAGCAUGUUGUUCUUCUGCCAGCAACCUUCUUCAACCAUCUCCACAGGAUGACUCCUCUAUUGGAUACUUCCAUGAAAAGUCCAGGCCUGGGUUAUGUACCCUUCCCAAAGUGCACCCCAGACACCCAACAGUUUUUCCAGCCCAGACUCACCACACUGUGUGGUAAUUUCCUGAUCACUCAGUUGUGCUCCCCACAGACUAUAAGCUCUAUGAGGGCAGGGGCCACAGUUUGCUUGUUCACUACUAUAUGCUCAGUACCUGGUAAAUAUUAGUUGACUGAAGAAUGACUAUGUGGUAAUCUAUUCCAUUGGUGGCCUCCAGUGAACCAUGUCUUCUGGUAUUUACAUCUUGUGUGGUCCCCUCCAUUAAAUUUGGGCUUUAACCAACAGAAUGCUGCAGAAGCGACACCCUGCCACUUGUGCUUUUGUGAUCCUAGCCACCAGUAAGAAGCCCUGUGACCUUGCUGAGACCCUGAAGAGACCACAUAGAGAGGCCACUUGAAGGGCAAGGGGUCCUGACUCUACAUGGAGAGAGAAGCCCAGCCAUCCCUGUUUCCCAGCUGAGUCCUGACCAGAUAACUCACUACAAGACUGACCACAGGCAAGAACAGCAGAAGAGCUGCCCAGCUGAGCCCAUCCAAGAGUGCAGAAUUUCAAGCAAGUAAAAUGACUAAUGUUAGAACUCAGAAUGAAGGGGCCUCAGGUUACCUGCAUCAUUCUGGUUUUUUGCUCCUGUUUUACUACGAAGCAAACACCUCGACUAUAAGCCGCCAUAGACCAGGGUCUGUGUCUCAUUCGUGUCUGGACAAUGCAUCACAGACACUCAACUGUUUUCUGCCUGAGCAGAAUUAAGACUUGGCCUCCUAACUCCUCCAUCACCAUCUUCUCCACUCUCUUCCUUGGCCUUCAUCACCAACACCACCUCAUCAACCGUGAAAGAUUCAAAGAGUAAGGAAAACCAUUUCUAGGACCAUGAAAUGUGUCACUGGAUCUCCUGCAGAAAUCUGCCAGAGCUACAAUGUGACUGGUUUCUACAUGUCUGACAAAUUUCUAUUUAAAUAAGUAUUUUUCAAAAUGCAAAUUGCUACCUAUUCUUUGGCCAUCAAAUCACUUUAGUGGGUUGCAACCGGCUUUUUCUUCUUAAUAGAAAAGGAAAUGUGUUGCAUUUGGUAAACAUGGAAAUUGUUUUAU